CAAUUACUUCCUCUGUCCCAAAAUUCUUGUCUUAGAUUUGUCUAGAUAUGAAUGUAUCAAGUCACGUUUUAGUAUUUAGAUACAUCCAUUUUUAAACAAACCUAAGACAAGAAUUUUAGGACGAAGAGAGUGGUAU
This 136-nucleotide microRNA precursor is filed under the name Hordeum vulgare. Its description in RNAcentral is "microRNA MIR1122". It matches the Rfam family "MIR1120/MIR1122 microRNA precursor family". Lineage: Eukaryota; Viridiplantae; Streptophyta; Magnoliopsida; Poales; Poaceae. The record is from RNAcentral.